RNAcentral lists this ribosomal RNA (1049 nucleotides) under uncultured bacterium. RNAcentral's name for it is "bacterial SSU rRNA". It matches the Rfam family "Bacterial small subunit ribosomal RNA", at positions 43 to 1075 of the family's 1533-position model. The record is from RNAcentral.
CAUGCCUAACACAUGCAAGUCGAACGGAAACGAUGCUAGCUUGCUAGCAGGCGUCGAGUGGCGGACGGGUGAGUAAUGUAUAGGAACUUGCCUAGUAGUGGGGGACAACGUGUGGAAACGCACGCUAAUACCGCAUAAUCUCUACGGAGGAAAGUGGGGGACCUUUCGGGGCCUCAUGCUACUAGAUGGGCCUAUAUCGGAUUAGCUAGUUGGUAAGGUAAUGGCUUACCAAGGCGACGAUCCGUAGCUGGUUUGAGAGAAUGAUCAGCCACACUGGGACUGAGACACGGCCCAGACUCCUACGGGAGGCAGCAGUGGGGAAUAUUGCACAAUGGAGGAAACUCUGAUGCAGCAAUGCCGCGUGUGUGAAGAAGGCCUUAGGGUUGUAAAGCACUUUCAGACGUGAGGAAAAGUAAUAAGUUAAUAACUUGUUGCCCUGACGUUAACGUCAGAAGAAGGACCGGCUAACUCCGUGCCAGCAGCCGCGGUAAUACGGAGGGUUCCCAAGCGUUAAUCGGAAUUACUGGGCGUAAAGCGCGCGUAGGCGGAUAUUUAAGUCAGAUGUGAAAUCCCUGGGCUCAACCUAGGAACUGCAUUUGAAACUGGAUAUCUAGAGUAUGGUAGAGGUGAGUGGAAUUUCAGGUGUAGCGGUGAAAUGCGUAGAGAUCUGAAGGAACAUCAGUGGCGAAGGCGACUCACUGGGCCAUUACUGACGCUGAGGUGCGAAAGCGUGGGUAGCAAACAGGAUUAGAUACCCUUGGUAGUCCACGCCCUAAACGAUGUCAACUAAGUGUGUGGGAGUUUAACUCCUGCGUAUUGAAGCUAACGCGAUAAGUUUGACCGCCUGGGGGAGUACGGUCGCAAGACUAAAACUCAAAUGAAUUGACGGGGGCCCCGCACAAGCGGUGGAGCAUGUGGUUUAAUUCGAUGCAACGCGAAGAACCUUACCAGGUCUUGACAUGUACGGAAGUUUCCAGAGACGGAAAUGUGCCUUCGGGAACCGUAACACAGGUGCUGCAUGGCUGUCGUCAGCUCGUGUCGUGAGAUGU